CUGGUCCGAGUGCAGUGGUGUUUACAAUUAAUUGAU
Molecule: non-coding RNA, 36 nt
Filed under: Cervus elaphus hippelaphus
Lineage: Eukaryota; Metazoa; Chordata; Mammalia; Artiodactyla; Cervidae
Source: RNAcentral